CAGUCGCACGGUAAUACGAACCGUGCGAACGUUAUUCGGAAUUACUGGGCUUAAAGCGCGUGUAGGCGGGCCGCCACGUCGGUUGCUGAAAUCCCCCGGCUCAACCGGGGAAGUGGCAUCGAUACGAGCGGCCUUGAGGGGGGUAGGGGGAUCUGGAACUUCCGGUGGAGCGGUGAAAUGCGUUGAGAUCGGAAGGAACGCCCGUGGCGAAAGCGAGGUCCUGGACCCUUUCUGACGCUGAGACGCGAAAGCCAGGGGAGCGAACGGGAUUAGAGACCCGAGUAGUCCCUGUCUCUUAUAA
This 301-nucleotide ribosomal RNA is filed under the name uncultured bacterium. RNAcentral describes it as "partial 16S ribosomal RNA". It matches the Rfam family "Bacterial small subunit ribosomal RNA", at positions 509 to 809 of the family's 1533-position model. The record is from RNAcentral.